Molecule: non-coding RNA, 46 nt
Filed under: Schistosoma haematobium
Lineage: Eukaryota; Metazoa; Platyhelminthes; Trematoda; Strigeidida; Schistosomatidae
Source: RNAcentral
GCACUGCUGAGGAGUCCCACAAUAGGACGAAACGGCUGUCCAAUUU